RNAcentral lists this transfer RNA (69 nucleotides) under Rattus norvegicus (Norway rat). It matches the Rfam family "tRNA". Rfam says of the family: Transfer RNA (tRNA) molecules are approximately 80 nucleotides in length. Their secondary structure includes four short double-helical elements and three loops (D, anti-codon, and T loops). The record is from Rfam by way of RNAcentral. Lineage: Eukaryota; Metazoa; Chordata; Mammalia; Rodentia; Muridae.
GGGGAUUUAGCUCAGUGGUAGAGCGCUUGCCUAGCAAGCACAAGGCCCUGGGUUCAGGCCCCAGCCCCA